UACGUAGGGUGCAAGCGUUGUCCGGAAUUAUUGGGCGUAAAGAGCUCGUAGGCGGUUUGUCGCGUCUGCUGUGAAAACCCGAGGCUCAACCUCGGGCCUGCAGUGGGUACGGGCAGACUAGAGUGCGGUAGGGGAGAUUGGAAUUCCUGGUGUAGCGGUGGAAUGCGCAGAUAUCAGGAGGAACACCGAUGGCGAAGGCAGAUCUCUGGGCCGUACCUGACGAUGAGGAGCGAAAGCAUGGGGAGCGAACAGG
RNAcentral lists this ribosomal RNA (253 nucleotides) under uncultured bacterium. Its description in RNAcentral is "partial 16S ribosomal RNA". It matches the Rfam family "Bacterial small subunit ribosomal RNA", at positions 524 to 776 of the family's 1533-position model. The record is from RNAcentral.